GUAAGCUACUAAGAGCGAAUGGUGGAUGCCUUGACUGGUAAAGGCGAUGAAGGACGUACUAGACUGCGAUAAGCUACGGGGAGCUGUCAAGAAGCUUUGAUCCGUAGAUUUCCGAAUGGGGCAACCCAAUGUAUAGAGAUAUACAUUACCUAUAUAGGAGCGAACGAGGGGAAUUGAAACAUCUUAGUACCCUCAGGAAAAGAAAUCAAUAGAGAUUGCGUCAGUAGCGGCGAGCGAAAGCGCAAGAGGGCAAACCCAGUGCUUGCACUGGGGGUUGUAGGACUGCAAUGUGCAAGAGGUGAGUUUAGCAGAACAUUCUGGAAAGUAUAGCCAUAGAGGGUGAUAGUCCCGUAUGCGAAAAACAAACCUUAGCUAGCAGUAUCCUGAGUAGGGCGGGACACGAGAAAUCCUGUCUGAAGCUGGGUCGACCACGAUCCAACCCUAAAUACUAAUACCAGAUCGAUAGUGCACAAGUACCGUGAGGGAAAGGUGAAAAGAACUGAGGUGAUCAGAGUGAAAUAGAACCUGAAACCAUUUGCUUACAAUCAUUCAGAGCACUAUGUAGCAAUACAGUGUGAUGGACUGCCUUUUGCAUAAUGAGCCUGCGAGUUGUGGUGUCUGGCAAGGUUAAGCAAACGCGAAGCCGUAGCGAAAGCGAGUCUGAAUAGGGCGCUUAGUCAGAUGCUGCAGACCCGAAACGAAGUGAUCUAUCCAUGAGCAAGUUGAAGCUAGUGUAAGAACUAGUGGAGGACUGAACCCAUAGGCGUUGAAAAGCCCCGGGAUGACUUGUGGAUAGGGGUGAAAGGCCAAUCAAACUUCGUGAUAGCUGGUUCUCUCCGAAAUAUAUUUAGGUAUAGCGUUGUGUCGUAAUAUAAGGGGGUAGAGCACUGAAUGGGCUAGGGCAUACACCAAUGUACCAAACCCUAUCAAACUCCGAAUACCUUAUAUGUAAUCACAGCAGUCAGGCGGCGAGUGAUAAAAUCCGUCGUCAAGAGGGAAACAACCCAGACUACCAGCUAAGGUCCCUAAAUCUUACUUAAGUGGAAAACGAUGUGAAGUUACUUAAACAACCAGGAGGUUGGCUUAGAAGCAGCCAUCCUUUAAAGAAAGCGUAAUAGCUCACUGGUCUAGUGAUUUUGCGCGGAAAAUAUAACGGGGCUAAAGUAAGUACCGAAGCUGUAGACUUGACUUUGUCAAGUGGUAGGAGAGCGUUCUAUUUGCGUCGAAGGUAUACCGGUAAGGAGUGCUGGAGCGAAUAGAAGUGAGCAUGCAGGCAUGAGUAGCGAUAAUUAAUGUGAGAAUCAUUAACGCCGUAAACCCAAGGUUUCCUACGCGAUGCUCGUCAUCGUAGGGUUAGUCGGGUCCUAAGUCGAGUCCGAAAGGGGUAGACGAUGGCAAAUUGGUUAAUAUUCCAAUACCAACAUUAGUGUGCGAUGGAAGGACGCUUAGGGCUAAGGGGGCUAGCGGAUGGAAGUGCUCGUCUAAGGUCGUAGGUGCUUAUACAGGCAAAUCCGUAUAAGAAUACACCGAGAACUGAAAGGCUUUUUGAAGUCUUCGGAUGGAUAGAAGAACCCCUGAUGCCGUCGAGCCAAGAAAAGUUUCUAAGUUUAGCUAAUGUUGCCCGUACCGUAAACCGACACAGGUGGGUGGGAUGAGUAUUCUAAGGCGCGUGGAAGAACUCUCUUUAAGGAACUCUGCAAAAUAGCACCGUAUCUUCGGUAUAAGGUGUGGUUCGCUUCGUAUUAGGAUUUACUCCGAAAGCGAAGAAACUUACAACAAAGAGUCCCUCCCGACUGUUUACCAAAAACACAGCACUCUGCUAACUCGUAAGAGGAUGUAUAGGGUGUGACGCCUGCCCGGUGCUCGAAGGUUAAUUGAUGGGGUUAGCAUUAGCGAAGCUCUUGAUCGAAGCCCGAGUAAACGGCGGCCGUAACUAUAACGGUCCUAAGGUAGCGAAAUUCCUUGUCGGUUAAAUACCGACCUGCAUGAAUGGCGUAACGAGAUGGGAGCUGUCUCAAAGAGGGAUCCAGUGAAAUUGUAGUGGAGGUGAAAAUUCCUCCUACCCGCGGCAAGACGGAAAGACCCCGUGGACCUUUACUACAGCUUGACACUGCUAUUUGGAUAAGAAUGUGCAGGAUAGGUGGGAGGCUUUGAGUAUAUGACGCCAGUUGUAUAUGAGCCAUUGUUGAGAUACCACUCUUUCUUAUUUGGGUAGCUAACCAGCUUGAGUUAUCCUCAAGUGGGACAAUGUCUGGUGGGUAGUUUGACUGGGGCGGUCGCCUCCCAAAUAAUAACGGAGGCUUACAAAGGUUGGCUCAGAACGGUUGGAAAUCGUUCGUAGAGUAUAAAGGUAUAAGCCAGCUUAACUGCAAGACAUACAAGUCAAGCAGAGACGAAAGUCGGUCUUAGUGAUCCGGUGGUUCUGUGUGGAAGGGCCAUCGCUCAAAGGAUAAAAGGUACCCCGGGGAUAACAGGCUGAUCUCCCCCAAGAGCUCACAUCGACGGGGAGGUUUGGCACCUCGAUGUCGGCUCAUCGCAUCCUGGGGCUGGAGCAGGUCCCAAGGGUAUGGCUGUUCGCCAUUUAAAGCGGUACGCGAGCUGGGUUCAGAACGUCGUGAGACAGUUCGGUCCCUAUCUGCCGUGGGCGUAAGAAGAUUGAAGAGAUUUGACCCUAGUACGAGAGGACCGGGUUGAACAAACCACUGGUGUAGCUGUUGUUCUGCCAAGAGCAUCGCAGCGUAGCUAAGUUUGGAAAGGAUAAACGCUGAAAGCAUCUAAGCGUGAAGCCAACUCUAAGAUGAAUCUUCUCUAAGCUCUCUAGAAGACUACUAGUUUGAUAGGCUGGGUGUGUAAUGGAUGAAAGUCCUUUAGCUGACCAGUACUAAUAGAGCGUUUGGCUUAUCUUUA
RNAcentral lists this ribosomal RNA (2907 nucleotides) under Campylobacter coli BIGS0012. RNAcentral describes it as "bacterial LSU rRNA". It matches the Rfam family "Bacterial large subunit ribosomal RNA". Lineage: Bacteria; Pseudomonadati; Campylobacterota; Epsilonproteobacteria; Campylobacterales; Campylobacteraceae. The record is from RNAcentral.